RNAcentral lists this ribosomal RNA (294 nucleotides) under uncultured bacterium. Its description in RNAcentral is "partial 16S ribosomal RNA". It matches the Rfam family "Bacterial small subunit ribosomal RNA", at positions 338 to 630 of the family's 1533-position model. The record is from RNAcentral.
UCUACGGGACGCAGCAGUGAGGAAUAUUGGUCAAUGGUCGGGAGACUGAACCAGCCAAGCCGCGUGAGGGAGGAAGGUACAGAGUAUCGUAAACCUCUUUUGUCAGGGAACAAAGGCGGGGACGUGUCCCCGGAUGAGUGUACCCGAAGAAAAAGCAUCGGCUAACUCCGUGCCAGCAGCCGCGGUAAUACGGAGGAUGCGAGCGUUAUCCGGAUUUAUUGGGUUUAAAGGGUGCGUAGGCGGACAGUCAAGUCAGCGGUAAAAAUGCGGUGCUCAACGCCGUACAGCCGUUGA